Molecule: transfer RNA, 71 nt
Filed under: Marmota monax (woodchuck)
Lineage: Eukaryota; Metazoa; Chordata; Mammalia; Rodentia; Sciuridae
Description: tRNA.Val
Rfam family: tRNA
About the family: Transfer RNA (tRNA) molecules are approximately 80 nucleotides in length. Their secondary structure includes four short double-helical elements and three loops (D, anti-codon, and T loops).
Source: RNAcentral
GGGGCUGUGGCUCAGCGGUAGAGCAUGCGUCUCACAUGUGUAAGGCCCUGGGCUUGAUCCUCAGCACCACA